RNAcentral lists this ribosomal RNA (107 nucleotides) under uncultured bacterium. RNAcentral describes it as "partial 16S ribosomal RNA". It matches the Rfam family "Bacterial small subunit ribosomal RNA", at positions 387 to 508 of the family's 1533-position model. The record is from RNAcentral.
CCCAGCGACGCCGCGUGAAGGAUGAAGGCCCUCUGGGUCGUAAACUUCUUUUAAGGGGGAAGAAUAAAUGACGGUACCCCUUGAAUAAGCCACGGCUAACUACGUGC